Molecule: transfer RNA, 89 nt
Filed under: Saprospira grandis DSM 2844
Lineage: Bacteria; Pseudomonadati; Bacteroidota; Saprospiria; Saprospirales; Saprospiraceae
Description: tRNA-Leu
Rfam family: tRNA
About the family: Transfer RNA (tRNA) molecules are approximately 80 nucleotides in length. Their secondary structure includes four short double-helical elements and three loops (D, anti-codon, and T loops). Further hydrogen bonds mediate the characteristic L-shaped molecular structure. tRNAs have two regions of fundamental functional importance: the anti-codon, which is responsible for specific mRNA codon recognition, and the 3' end, to which the tRNAs corresponding amino acid is attached (by aminoacyl-tRNA synthetases). tRNAs cope with the degeneracy of the genetic code in two manners: having more than one tRNA (with a specific anti-codon) for a particular amino acid; and 'wobble' base-pairing, i.e. permitting non-standard base-pairing at the 3rd anti-codon position.
Source: RNAcentral
GCCCAGGUGGUGGAAUUGGUAGACACGCUACUUUGAGGGGGUAGUGCCUAAUUACAGGCGUGCAAGUUCGACUCUUGUUCUGGGCACCA